This 415-nucleotide ribosomal RNA is filed under the name uncultured bacterium. RNAcentral's name for it is "bacterial SSU rRNA". It matches the Rfam family "Bacterial small subunit ribosomal RNA", at positions 355 to 786 of the family's 1533-position model. The record is from RNAcentral.
UGGGGAAUAUUGCACAAUGGGGAAAGCCCUGAUGCAGCAACGCCGCGUGAAGGAAGACGGUUUUCGGAUUGUAAACUUCUGUUCUUAGUGAAGAAUAAUGACGGUAGCUAAGGAGCAAGCCACGGCUAACUACGUGCCAGCAGCCGCGGUAAUACGUAGGUGGCAAGCGUUGUCCGGAAUUACUGGGUGUAAAGGGAGCGCAGGCGGGAGACCAAGUCAGCUGUGAAAACUACGGGCUUAACCUGUAGACUGCAGUUGAAACUGGUUUUCUUGAGUGAAGUAGAGGUUGGCGGAAUUCCGAGUGUAGCGGUGAAAUGCGUAGAUAUUCGGAGGAACACCGGUGGCGAAGGCGGCCAACUGGGCUUUAACUGACGCUGAGGCUCGAAAGUGUGGGGAGCAAACAGGAUUAGAUACC